RNAcentral lists this unclassified non-coding RNA (268 nucleotides) under air metagenome. RNAcentral describes it as "partial contains small subunit ribosomal RNA, internal transcribed spacer 1, and 5.8S ribosomal RNA". The stretch from base 1 to 46 matches the Rfam family "Eukaryotic small subunit ribosomal RNA", at positions 1786 to 1831 of the family's 1831-position model. The record is from RNAcentral.
AAGUCGUAACAAGGUUUCCGUAGGUGAACCUGCGGAAGGAUCAUUAUCGAGUUUUGAACGGGCUGUCUGCUGGCUCGCGAGAGCAUGUGCACGCCUGUCUCAUCCACUCUCAACUUCUGUGCACUCUUCAUAGGCCGGCUUGUGGGUGCGUUUGCGCACUUGUAGGUGUCGGGCUUAUGCUUUACUACAAACGAUUCAGUCUUAGAAUGUCAUACUUUGCUAUAACGCAAUUUAUAUACAACUUUCAGCAACGGAUCUCUUGGCUCUC